GCUAGGGUAGGUAAUGUUUGAGAGCUAGCAAAAUUUGAAAAUGGCACCUCUUCUAAGCUCCACCCCCUCUCGUUAGCACUCCGUCCAAAGCUACGCCCCCACAAACAUGAACGCGCAUCCACAGUCGGAGUCAGCUGCAGGUCACAGGAAAACCGAGUAUUUCAACACAUUAUAGGCAUCAACCAAACGACUUCAUGUCUCAUUCACCUAGUUUCCACGACGAGAGCAUUUGAUCUGAUCCUACAUACAGUCCGCAUCCGAGCACGUCUUCAGGUCAAAGGGGACAGACCCGAGGUCGUGCUCGAGGAAGAGGAGGUGCACGGGGUAGAAGCCGAGGAAGUCGAGGUAGAGGACGCGGAGCAAGUCAGACUGCAACCGGAGAACACCCGAGACAUGACGAUAUUCUGCGAGUCGAGAAUCUGCAAGCUCAACGAAUUUCAGAUGAGCAGGCCAGAAUUCAUACACUGAGCUUGGAAGAAUCCCAUCAGUUGCUGCAGAUCUGCCUGACAAGGGACCCAAGCCUCAUCUUUGAUCUCCUCCAUAUGUCAACAUCAGGAGAUGCUCCUCCACCAGGCCCUCCAGCUCUGAGUCAACCCACUUGGUGUGUGUGCCGAAACUGCAGAGAGAUGCCCUCAGAUGUAGAAAGAAAGUGCUGUGGGCAACAAGACGACUCCUGUAUUUCCAUGCUGCCCCACAUGGAAUUGUACAUUUUGCAGGAGGGGGUGUUGCGACUUGCCAGAAGGAUCUGGAAUGAUGUCCGGGCUGUGGAGGAUCUUCCAGUCCCAGGGGAGAGCAAUAAACAAUUCCGCUACGCUGCAUACCGGCAAUAUGUUGUGUGGCAAUAUGGGGCACUGGGCACAGAGUAGUAAUUCCUAGUUGCUGUGUUUUGGAAAAUUAGAGACAGCUACCCAGAUACACAUGGACAGUAUACAGGUUUCAUCCCAAGUAGGGUGUAGGCACAGUACAAUAAAUAGUAUUUAUUUUUGUGCCCUGCUUUUUUAUUUAUUUUGUACUGGUUUAUAUAUUGUUCUGUAAAAUUUGCACUAAUGUAUACAGUAUGUACAGUCAUAUUAUUAUUUAAAUUUUGUCAUGUUUGAAUAAAUAUUUUGAGUUGAUAAAUGCCUUUCCUUUAUCAUUUUAGCAUAAACAAGCUAUUACUUUUCUUACCUCCUUACAUGCUAAAUGAAUAAUGACAAUGAAUGUGGUAUAACUCUUUUUGUUUUAUUAAAAAAAAAACAACAACAAGAAAGACCUAAGAGGAAUACUUUUUUAAACAACUAUCUGUCCUUUUGUUGCUUUUGAUUGUCAUAAACAAUCUGUAUUUACACAUAAUACAUUUGAAAUAUAUAUAUGUUAGAAAAUGAGUGUCCAUGGAUGGCUGACAGGUCAGGCUUUGCAUGAUGCGUUGUCUUCUGUGGUGAUCUACUCCUUUGGCAGUGAUUUACCUUUAGGGGCUGUUUACACUUGGUAUUAAGAUGUGUUUUCGUCGAUCGGAUCACAACUGGAUGAGAGAGACACAUUACGUUUACACCUGGUAUUUAAAUCCGUCUCUUUUGUCCACUUUCAACCGCUUCUGUGCUGAAUACUAUGAGGGGGUGGUCUGUGAGACGGUGGGCGAGUCUCUCUGCUGUCAUUCAAACCCGAGCGGGAGUAAUUAUGAGUUUAUAUGGACGCAAACUAAUUUUAUGUCGAAGUCCACUGCUUGUUUAGCAAGUAAACAUGCUGCACAGAGUUUUGUACAUGUGUAUGUAAGAGCUUUCUCUGAAUUUUCAGCGAUAUUG
Misgurnus anguillicaudatus (oriental weatherfish) is the source of this 1781-nucleotide non-coding RNA. The record is from RefSeq and is a predicted model, not a curated record. Lineage: Eukaryota; Metazoa; Chordata; Actinopteri; Cypriniformes; Cobitidae.